CGAAGGGAAACCGAGUCUUAACUGGGCGUUAAGUUGCAGGGUAUAGACCCGAAACCCGGUGAUCUAGCCAUGGGCAGGUUGAAGGUUGGGUAACACUAACUGGAGGACCGAACCGACUAAUGUUGAAAAAUUAGCGGAUGACUUGUGGCUGGGGGUGAAAGGCCAAUCAAACCGGGAGAUAGCUGGUUCUCCCCGAAAGCUAUUUAGGUAGCGCCUCGUGAAUUCAUCUCCGGGGGUAGAGCACUGUUUCGGCAAGGGGGUCAUCCCGACUUACCAACCCGAUGCAAACUGCGAAUACCGGAGAAUGUUAUCACGGGAGACACACGGCGGGUGCUAACGUCCGUCGUGAAGAGGGAAACAACCCAGACCGCCAGCUAAGGUCCCAAAGUCAUGGUUAAGUGGGAAACGAUGUGGGAAGGCCCAGACAGCCAGGAUGUUGGCUUAGAAGCAGCCAUCAUUUAAAGAAAGCGUAAUAGCUCACUGGUCGAGUCGGCCUGCGCGGAAGAUGUAACGGGGCUAAACCAUGCACCGAAGCUGCGGCAGCGACGCUGAUGCGUUGUUGGGUAGGGGAGCGUUCUGUAAGCCUGCGAAGGUGUGCUGUGAGGCAUGCUGGAGGUAUCAGAAGUGCGAAUGCUGACAUAAGUAACGAUAAAGCGGGUGAAAAGCCCGCUCGCCGGAAGACCAAGGGUUCCUGUCCAACGUUAAUCGGGGCAGGGUGAGUCGACCCCUAAGGCGAGGCCGAAAGGCGUAGUCGAUGGGAAACAGGUUAAUAUUCCUGUACUUGGUGUUACUGCGAAGGGGGGACGGAGAAGGCUAUGUUGGCCGGGCGACGGUUGUCCCGGUUUAAGCGUGUAGGCUGGUUUUCCAGGCAAAUCCGGAAAAUCAAGGCUGAGGCGUGAUGACGAGGCACUGCGGUGCUGAAGCAACAAAUGCCCUGCUUCCAGGAAAAGCCUCUAAGCAUCAGGUAACAUCAAAUCGUACCCCAAACCGACACAGGUGGUCAGGUAGAGAAUACCAAGGCGCUUGAGAGAACUCGGGUGAAGGAACUAGGCAAAAUGGUGCCGUAACUUCGGGAGAAGGCACGCUGAUAUGUAGGUGAAGUCCCUCGCGGAUGGAGCUGAAAUCAGUCGAAGAUACCAGCUGGCUGCAACUGUUUAUUAAAAACACAGCACUGUGCAAACACGAAAGUGGACGUAUACGGUGUGACGCCUGCCCGGUGCCGGAAGGUUAAUUGAUGGGGUUAGCGCAAGCGAAGCUCUUGAUCGAAGCCCCGGUAAACGGCGGCCGUAACUAUAACGGUCCUAAGGUAGCGAAAUUCCUUGUCGGGUAAGUUCCGACCUGCACGAAUGGCGUAAUGAUGGCCAGGCUGUCUCCACCCGAGACUCAGUGAAAUUGAACUCGCUGUGAAGAUGCAGUGUACCCGCGGCAAGACGGAAAGACCCCGUGAACCUUUACUAUAGCUUGACACUGAACAUUGAGCCUUGAUGUGUAGGAUAGGUGGGAGGCUUUGAAGUGUGGACGCCAGUCUGCAUGGAGCCGACCUUGAAAUACCACCCUUUAAUGUUUGAUGUUCUAACGUUGACCCGUAAUCCGGGUUGCGGACAGUGUCUGGUGGGUAGUUUGACUGGGGCGGUCUCCUCCUAAAGAGUAACGGAGGAGCACGAAGGUUGGCUAAUCCUGGUCGGACAUCAGGAGGUUAGUGCAAUGGCAUAAGCCAGCUUGACUGCGAGCGUGACGGCGCGAGCAGGUGCGAAAGCAGGUCAUAGUGAUCCGGUGGUUCUGAAUGGAAGGGCCAUCGCUCAACGGAUAAAAGGUACUCCGGGGAUAACAGGCUGAUACCGCCCAAGAGUUCAUAUCGACGGCGGUGUUUGGCACCUCGAUGUCGGCUCAUCACAUCCUGGGGCUGAAGUAGGUCCCAAGGGUAUGGCUGUUCGCCAUUUAAAGUGGUACGCGAGCUGGGUUUAGAACGUCGUGAGACAGUUCGGUCCCUAUCUGCCGUGGGCGCUGGAGAACUGAGGGGGGCUGCUCCUAGUACGAGAGGACCGGAGUGGACGCAUCACUGGUGUUCGGGUUGUCAUGCCAAUGGCACUGCCCGGUAGCUAAAUGCGGAAGAGAUAAGUGCUGAAAGCAUCUAAGCACGAAACUUGCCCCGAGAUGAGUUCUCCCUGACUCCUUGAGAGUCCUGAAGGAACGUUGAAGACGACGACGUUGAUAGGCCGG
RNAcentral lists this ribosomal RNA (2220 nucleotides) under Escherichia coli O26:H11. RNAcentral's name for it is "bacterial LSU rRNA". It matches the Rfam family "Bacterial large subunit ribosomal RNA", at positions 667 to 2864 of the family's 2925-position model. Lineage: Bacteria; Pseudomonadati; Pseudomonadota; Gammaproteobacteria; Enterobacterales; Enterobacteriaceae. The record is from RNAcentral.